AAUGGAACGUGUCAAGUAACCUGGAAAAAUGAACUCGUCGCUACUUCUGUUCGUAUUUGCUUUUAUCAUUGCAUUUUGAACAAAUUCCGUAAAUGCUUACGUGACCUCAUGCGUCCUAAAAGAAGAUUACUGUGCCACGAAAGAAAAAGCUAAACGCUGCGAUAAACUCAACGAAUGCUUUCCAGAAGACGAGCCCGACGACGUGAAAAUCGUGAAGUUUAAGCCUACGGUAGAACCAUUGCCUAGACGUUAUUACGGAAGGGGCUGCUUAGGGAAAAAGUAAUAGUUCAAAACAAAUUGUAGUAAAUGAAUAAAGCUCCCGCUUAUACAAAUCUCAAA
Nasonia vitripennis (jewel wasp) is the source of this 339-nucleotide long non-coding RNA. RefSeq lists it as uncharacterized. The record is from RefSeq and is a predicted model, not a curated record. Lineage: Eukaryota; Metazoa; Arthropoda; Insecta; Hymenoptera; Pteromalidae. The transcript is spliced from 3 exons.